Molecule: ribosomal RNA, 886 nt
Filed under: Bambusicola loculata
Lineage: Eukaryota; Fungi; Ascomycota; Dothideomycetes; Pleosporales; Bambusicolaceae
Description: SSU rRNA
Rfam family: Eukaryotic small subunit ribosomal RNA
Source: RNAcentral
UGUAUUUAUUAGAUAAAAAACCAAUGACAUUCAGCUCCCAUUCAUAAUAACUUCUCAGAUCGCAUGGCCUUGCGCCGGCGACGGUUCACUCAAAUUUCUGCCCUAUCAACUUUCGAUGGUAAGGUAUUGGCUUACCAUGGUUUCAACGGGUAACGGGGAAUUAGGGUUCGAUUCUGGAGAAGGAGCCUGAGAGACGGCUACUACAUCCAAGGAAGGCAGCAGGCGCGCAAAUUACCCAAUCCCGACACGGGGAGGUAGUGACAAUAAAUACUGAUACAGGGCUCUUUUGGGUCUUGUAAUUGGAAUGAGUACAAUUUAAACCUCUUAACGAGGAACAAUUGGAGGGCAAGUCUGGUGCCAGCAGCCGCGGUAAUUCCAGCUCCAAUAGCGUAUAUUAAAGUUGUUGCAGUUAAAAAGCUCGUAGUUGAACCUUUGGCCUGGCUGGCAGGUCCGCCUCACCGCGUGUACUUGUCCGGCCGGGCCUUUUCUUCUGGAGAACCGCAUGCCCUUCACUGGGUGUGUUGGGGACCAGGACUUUUACUUUGAAAAAAUUAGAGUGUUCAAAGCAGGCCUUUGCUCGAAUACGUUAGCAUGGAAUAAUAGAAUAGGACGUGCGGUCCUAUUUUGUUGGUUUCUAGGACCGCCGUAAUGAUUAAUAGGGACAGUCGGGGGCAUCAGUAUUCAAUUGUCAGAGGUGAAAUUCUUGGAUUUAUUGAAGACUAACUACUGCGAAAGCAUUUGCCAAGGAUGUUUUCAUUAAUCAGUGAACGAAAGUUAGGGGAUCGAAGACGAUCAGAUACCGUCGUAGUCUUAACCAUAAACUAUGCCGACUAGGGAUCGGGCGAUGUUUCAAUUUUGACUCGCUCGGCACCUUACGAGAAAUCAA